ACACUUCAAUGGGGGCUAUAUGCAAAAACACCCGUGUACUUAGAUUUAUGUGCACGUUCAAAGAACCCCAGGUGGUCCAAAUUUCCUGAGUCCCCCACUACAGCGUGCCUCAUAAUCAGAAAGUGGUUUAGCAUGUAGAACCCCAUAAUUUUGUCUUUUUUUUUGCCUCCCACACUAUGUCACAAGAAUCUGCGAACACCACAGGCUGGAGGUAGGACCACGUCCUGACCGCCACUGAGGUCUUGAAGCUCGGGCCCGCCGCCUGCCAGCUUCGCUUCUCUGCCCAGUGCUCCUGACGUCUUGAGAUGUAUCCAUGCCUCCUACAAAACACGCAGGAAGUUCUGUUGUUCGGACUUUACAAGUAAUCCAUCUAACCAGCUUCUUCUCAGAAAGCAACCGUUUGUUGGUUCUGUUACAUGAAGCGGUACUUUGAUCUAGGAUGGAUUUACCAUUGUGAUGUUGAUGUGACUGUUUACUGAUUGUAAUGUAUGCUUCUCUAGUCUGGAACAAGGCUAAUGCAAGUUCACCUGCUGCUUCAUAAUUGAAUUGAAAUCAUCAAGAAAAUGAAGUUUUAUUGCAUUGAGUGAUAAGUAAUUAUAAUGAUAAAAAAGAGACUGCAAUAUACUAUUAGAGAAUGUAAUUUAUAGUACACGGAAUGUUGCCUAUCUUCAGAGAUCUGUUCAAAAAUUUGUACAUGUGUGGUUGUGUCAGUGACAGAAGCACUGAUUGGUGAAUAAUUUAUCUUCAUUACUCAGUAGUUUCAUUUUGCUUUUCCUGAAGCAAUGGAAAAAUUAUUUGAAAAAUUAUUACAAUGCACAAAUAAAGAGACAAUCUUUUGUUUAAUGCACAGAAA
Molecule: long non-coding RNA, 853 nt
Filed under: Dermacentor andersoni
Lineage: Eukaryota; Metazoa; Arthropoda; Arachnida; Ixodida; Ixodidae
Description: uncharacterized LOC126528121
Source: RNAcentral